UCUCUCUCUCUCUCCUCUCUCUCCUCUCUCUCUUCUCUCUCUCUCUCUCUCUCUCUCUCUCUCUCUCUCUCCUCUCUCUCUGUGUCUCCUCAGCAGGAACAUUUGAAGUGAACGUGACUCAGAGCUUCUAUCAGGCAGAGGAGAACCAGAACGUCACUCUGGAGUGGACCUUCACACCCCAAGAUGACCCCUCACUUCACUCUCUUGAUAUCUUAUGUUCUAUGUACACUGAUCACAAAGUCUGUGAGCUGUUUAAACUGAUCGGAGGAGUCGAGGUCUCAGAGUCUCAGGAUGAACAGUUUGCAGGACGAGUCCACUGGGACAAAGACGUCCUCAAAGAAGGACGACUCAGACUUCACGUGUCCUCGUUGAGGACUGAAGACUCGGGGCUAUACGUGUGUAAAUGGAGGUUAAAGUCUGAUGUGGUCGAUGGUAGAAUCCGUCUUAAUGUGACCGCAGCUGCUCAUGAGCCCCAAACUCAGAGACCAACAGUGAGACCAGGAGCAGAGAGUCCGGGAAGACCUGGUCUCUACAUUGGACUGUUACUGGUCCUGACAGCAUCAGCUGGACUGUCUGUCUGUGUCUUUAAAAAAAUGUGUCAAUAAAUCUGCUGAUGAGAGAGAAAACGUCUCUGCAGUCGUGUAGACUCUGAAUUUGUCAGAGAAACAAUCAACCAUCCAUUACCUGAACCACUUGAUGGUUCUGGGUCAGAUUGGUUGGAGCCAAUUGGGCGAGAGUCUGGGUUACACCUGGACUGGACGUCAUCACAGGUGUUGGAGCCAAAAUGCUUGUUUUUAUUGAUAAUUUGAAGAGUGUUCUAGCUUUCCCUCUGAUAACUUUCUUGCUGUGAGGAAGUUCCGGCUUCGACUUUUAUGAGUAAAGCUCCAAAUCAUUUCAAACGUUACUUCAACAUGGUUCACAAAAGAGACCCAUCAGGACUACAAGGACCCCUUUCAGUCUGAAUGUGUUGUUCCUGAACCUUUGUUUAGAAUAUCAUGAUAUUGAAAUGUUUCUCAUGUGGUUCAUAUGUUACAUGUAUUCAUCACCACAGACGGAUCUAAUGUGGAUUGAACUGAAGCUUCUGUUGUGUUCUGAUGGAUGUUGUUACAAAUCUCUGACCUUCAAUAUCUUUAUUUAUAAUGUUUAGAGUCUAAAUAAAUCCUCAUGAUCA
Labrus mixtus (cuckoo wrasse) is the source of this 1171-nucleotide long non-coding RNA. RefSeq lists it as uncharacterized. The record is from RefSeq and is a predicted model, not a curated record. NCBI's taxonomy places the organism in Eukaryota, Metazoa, Chordata, Actinopteri, Labriformes, Labridae. The transcript has 2 exons.